This 2145-nucleotide long non-coding RNA is filed under the name Panax ginseng (ginseng). RNAcentral's name for it is "long non-coding RNA (PGIN_LNC016059)". The record is from RNAcentral. Lineage: Eukaryota; Viridiplantae; Streptophyta; Magnoliopsida; Apiales; Araliaceae.
GUUAUCUCAGUUUUAUUUUUGGAAUAGAUGAGUCCUAUCACUUGCUCAAAAUACAUUCAGUCGAGCCAAGUCCUAAAAUCCCUCGUUUAACAACAAUGGCGGUCCUCUCUCCUCUUUGUGCCACUGCAGAUCUACCAUCUCACUAUCUCAGUGCCGAUUUGUAGAAAGGUGAUUGUGAUCAACCCUCAAUUUCUUAAUUCCACCAAAAAAAUUGCCAAAGAAGGCAAAGCCCUAGCUAAUUCUUCACUUGUAAUUGGUAGUUAAGAUUCUGAACGAAAAUUUUUGUAAUCGUCCCUCCAACUUUUAUUUUACAUCUGUAUAUUACGUUUGUAAUUGUUUGAGCAUGAAUAUCUUUUCUAUAUCUAUCAAUUGUUUGUUGAAUUUGCUAAAGAUUUUACUGGAGGUAUAGAAAUUUGAGUGAUUCAUGAUGAGAAUUCUGGCAUUUUACCGAUGGUUAGUGGAGAAGUAUCCGAUGGUGGUGAUGGAUGUGAUUGAAAAAAGAGAAGUAGAAAUUGAGGGAACUUCGAUUCCCGUGGAUACCAGCACACCUAAUCCUAAUAACAUCGACUACAAUAACCUUAAUGAACGCGAUUAUUCAUCCAUGUUUUCACCCUGAAGACCGGGUAUGAAUAACUUAAUUUUGAUUUUAGAUAUAUUUUCAUUAACUUGUUUCUUUGGUUUAUGUGGUUAUUAUCAAUUUUUAUGGUUUUUGUGAUUUUAUAGUGGUAGAUUUAUUUUGAUGCCAAAAAAAAUAUAUAGUUGGUGAUUGUAAUGAUGUAACUUAUUGAAUUGGGUUGUUUAUUUUUUGAAUUUGUAAUGCUAUACAAGUAUUUGUUACACAUGUUAUGAUGUAUGAUGCUUUUGAAGUGUUCUAACAGUAUAUUGGGAAUUGUUGGAUAUAAGUGAGGAUAUGGUUGUGUCAUAUAGUUGUUCACAUGUUUAAGGGUCUGAUUGGGCAUUUACGGCUUAGUUCAGGAGGUAUAGUUACUAGUUUUGUAGUGUGAAAGAUAAGAUACAGAGUUGAAGAAUAAGGUUAAUCAUACUUAUUGCCAUUGAAAGAAAAGAAAAGGUUGUGUUAGCUAUAUGUAUUAUCUCUCUAUUUAAUUUAUUUGUAAACUGGCUUUGUAUUGUAUCAAAUGUUGAAGCCUAUGAGAUUUGAUUGAAAAUUGCUUAUUCUCUCCUUCCAUUGGUCUUGACUCUUUCAAAGAAUUUUCAACCUUUCUGUCUCUGGCAUUUUCAUUUGAUUCUGUGUGUUUGUUCAGAUUUUUCAUAUGCUCCUCUCACUAUCAUUACAGUUCUUCUAUAUCUAUUGUCUAUUACUCAGUAAACAGUGAAAACAGAAAGAAGUUAUUGUCCUUGAGGCCUUGUAGUGUAGUAUCAUUUUUAGUAAAAUGUCUAGUAUGGAGUAAUAUUUAACAUGAGUAACAUAAUCAUUAAAGACAUUUUCCCAUUAGAUAUAUUGUCUCAGGAUAGAGUUCCAAUUCUCUUAUCUCCCUAAAUCCUAUGACCAUAAUAAUAUGUUUUUUUAAGUGGAUUUUGAAAAAUAUAUAAAUGGAAAAUAGACUAAUUGUUAAUUUUAUGCGAAUAAUAGAAUGGAGUGCAACAAAAGUUAAAUAUACUUUCAAAAUAAUUGUGAUUAUAUAAAUCUUUUGAAUGUUUAUUUUGUGAUCCCACUUUAUCAUUGGAGAGAAAACAUGCCAUUUCUACGCCGCUACUAAGAAAUUGGGCUCAACUUAGAAAGACAGAUAAGGAAAUUACAUUGUUAUUGUCAUCUUGUUAUUUCCAUCUAAUUUACAACAUCUUGUUAUUGUCAAUUUUAUCUCCCUAAUUACAUUAUUUUUAAUAAUCUUCAACUUACAUUUUUAUCUUCUUAAAUUAUGCAGGAUAAGAUCUCACAAAGAGUCUUCUGAUUUGAGCAAUGUGGUGUUGCCUUCAGUUAGUUUCUAAUACUACUACAUAAUCUCACAGCAGCAACAAGAUGUGCCAGUAUCAUUUGGUACUACAUGUAACAUAAUAGUAUAUUCUUACUUUACCAUUGCACUUCCUUCAUAUUAGACCACAAUUUCAUUAUACAAUAAAAAAUAAUAAUUCUUUUUUACUCCAUGUACAUGAUGAUGGCAAAUAGAUUGUCUAUGUGCUAGAUUU